RNAcentral lists this long non-coding RNA (447 nucleotides) under Gossypium barbadense (sea-island cotton). RNAcentral's name for it is "long non-coding RNA (GBAR_LNC012888)". The record is from RNAcentral. Lineage: Eukaryota; Viridiplantae; Streptophyta; Magnoliopsida; Malvales; Malvaceae.
GUUUUCUAUGCUUCUCAGCUGACUGCCAAGCCGAGGCUGCUUGAGCCAGUGUACUUGGUGGAGAUCCAAGCCCCAGAGCAAGCACUUGGUGGUAUUUACAGUGUUCUUAACCAGAAGCGAGGACAUGUGUUUGAGGAGAUGCAGAGGCCUGGUACUCCACUAUACAACAUCAAAGCAUACCUUCCUGUUAUCGAGUCAUUUGGAUUCUCGAGCACCCUGAGGGCUGCAACUUCAGGACAGGCUUUCCCACAAUGCGUGUUUGACCACUGGGAUAUGAUGUCAUCAGAUCCAUUGGAACCUGGUUCCCAGGCAGCCAACCAUGUUGCUGAGAUCCGUAAGAGGAAGGGAUUGAAGGAGCAGAUGACCCCGCUCUCCGAUUACGAGGACAAGCUGUAAGCUAAGCAACAAAAUAAUAAUUAAUUGAAGAGGUUACGUUACCCAUUUUAU